Long non-coding RNA from Pezoporus occidentalis (night parrot), 738 nucleotides. RefSeq lists it as uncharacterized. The record is from RefSeq and is a predicted model, not a curated record. NCBI's taxonomy places the organism in Eukaryota, Metazoa, Chordata, Aves, Psittaciformes, Psittacidae. The transcript has 2 exons.
AACGGCCUGAUCAUUAUGAAUGAGCUUAUUGUCCCAUGUUUGCCAUUACUACUGGUGGAUGAAAUGGAAAAAAAGGGAAUUGUUGCUGUGGAAGAUAUGAGAAACCGUUGGUGUUCCUAUCUUGGACAAGAAAUGGAACCCAACUUGCAAGAAAAGCUGACAGAUUUUUCCCGCCAAAACUGCUAGAUUGCUCUACAGAGAUUAAAGGUUUCAAUGAUCCGCCAAAGUUACCCUCCUACUCCACACAUGAACUGUGUGAAAGAUACGCCCCAAUCAUGUUGUCACUCAGUCGAACUCCAGCCGAUGGAAAAUAAAUUCUGCAACCUUCCUAAGCACAUUGUAUAAACUUUUUUAGUUCUUAAACCUUGCCUUCCUGUCACAGGGUUUGCUUGUUGCUGCUAUAGUUUUUAACUUUUUUAUUUUAAUAACUGCAAAGGAGAAAUGACUGUACAAACUUUAGCCAGACUGCAAACAGUUAAAGCUGAGAAUCGCAUGGCACUCAGUUGUUUCAACCAGAAUUGAUGCAACAUGCAAGUCUAUCAUUAUGGCAAAACUGCUUUUUUUUGCCACUUAUCUGUUACAGUAUUACUUUGCUUUUAUCUUAAGAUCCUUUACUUUAUCAACAGCUGUCUGGAUCAUUUUGUGACUGCAACUACUUUAAGUGUCCAGUGCUGUGUAAAUACAUAGUACUUGGUAGCUUGUAAAUGAAAUGAAAGAAUAAAGUUUUAUUUAUGGCUA